AGGGGUAUAGUUCAGGAAUAGAGCAUGUGCUUGGCUUGCACGAGGUCCUGGGUUCAAUCCCCAGUGCCCCUA
RNAcentral lists this transfer RNA (72 nucleotides) under Camelus bactrianus (Bactrian camel). It matches the Rfam family "tRNA". From Rfam's summary of the family: Transfer RNA (tRNA) molecules are approximately 80 nucleotides in length. The record is from Rfam by way of RNAcentral. Lineage: Eukaryota; Metazoa; Chordata; Mammalia; Artiodactyla; Camelidae. RNAcentral also lists the same sequence under 2 other names.